CGGGAGGCAGCAGUGGGGAAUAUUGCACAAUGGGGGAAACCCUGAUGCAGCCAUGCCGCGUGUGUGAAGAAGGCCUUCGGGUUGUAAAGCACUUUCAGUAGGGAGGAAGGUAGUGUAGUUAACACCUGCACUAUUUGACGUUACCUACAGAAGAAGCACCGGCUAACUCCGUGCCAGCAGCCGCGGUAAUACGGAGGGUGCGAGCGUUAAUCGGAAUUACUGGGCGUAAAGCGCAUGCAGGCGGCCUGUUAAGUCAGAUGUGAAAGCCCCGGGGCUUAACCUCGGAAUUGCAUUUGAAACUGGCAGGCUAGAGUCUUGUAGAGGGGGUAGAAUUUCAGGUGUAGCGGUGAAAUGCGUAGAGAUCUGAAGGAAUACCAGUGGCGAAGGCGGCCCCCUGGACAAAGACUGACGCUCAGAUGCGAAAGCGUGGGGAGCAAACAGGAUUAGAUACCCUGGUAG
RNAcentral lists this ribosomal RNA (459 nucleotides) under uncultured bacterium. RNAcentral describes it as "bacterial SSU rRNA". It matches the Rfam family "Bacterial small subunit ribosomal RNA", at positions 342 to 793 of the family's 1533-position model. The record is from RNAcentral.